CCAGCUUGCUGGAUGCUGACGAGCGGCGGACGGGUGAGUAAUGCAUAGGAAUCUGCCCGAUAGUGGGGGAUAACCUGGGGAAACCCAGGCUAAUACCGCAUACGUCCUACGGGAGAAAGGGGGCUCCGGCUCCCGCUAUGGGAUGAGCCUAUGUCGGAUUAGCUAGUUGGUGAGGUAACGGCUCACCAAGGCCACGAUCCGUAGCUGGUCUGAGAGGAUGAUCAGCCACAUCGGGACUGAGACACGGCCCGAACUCCUACGGGAGGCAGCAGUGGGGAAUAUUGGACAAUGGGGGAAACCCUGAUCCAGCCCUGCCGCGUGUGUGAAGAAGGCCCUCGGGUUG
This 343-nucleotide ribosomal RNA is filed under the name Vreelandella aquamarina. RNAcentral describes it as "bacterial SSU rRNA". It matches the Rfam family "Bacterial small subunit ribosomal RNA", at positions 75 to 425 of the family's 1533-position model. The record is from RNAcentral. Lineage: Bacteria; Pseudomonadati; Pseudomonadota; Gammaproteobacteria; Oceanospirillales; Halomonadaceae.